UACUGUAGUUCAGUCGGUAGAGCAUGAGAUUCUUAAUCUUAAGGCUGUGGGUUUGAGCCCCACGUUGGGCAAAA
Podarcis lilfordi (Lilford's wall lizard) is the source of this 74-nucleotide non-coding RNA. The record is from the annotation of a GenBank genome assembly. Lineage: Eukaryota; Metazoa; Chordata; Lepidosauria; Squamata; Lacertidae.